Molecule: ribosomal RNA, 2130 nt
Filed under: Cribraria argillacea
Lineage: Eukaryota; Evosea; Eumycetozoa; Liceales; Cribrariaceae
Description: partial small subunit ribosomal RNA
Rfam family: Eukaryotic small subunit ribosomal RNA
Source: RNAcentral
GAAUCUGCGUAAGGCUCCACAAACCUGUUAUAACCUUCCCGGUAUUGGUCGCAGAGAUUAUUAUUGGGGACUUCGUCUUCCAUAGUUCGCUGUGGUACACGGAUAUCCGAUGGUAAUUCUACGGCUAAUACGUGCUCAGUAUCCUUCAUUUCAUCUAGGAUUCGUCUUGGGUGGGGUGAUGGGUGCUGGAGAUUCAUUUUAUUUAGAACCCAUAUCCUUAACUGGAUAUUGCUAACUCUAUAAGUUGAACCUCACCUCCCGCUCAUCGCGUAUUUGCUUCCUUCUUGUAGUUGUAGGUAUCUUGUAUAUCUCCUUCUUCAAGGGUGAACUCUUACUCGGUGUAUCGGAAGGAUUUCAGAUCUAUCAUACUAGUGAACAGGGUAUCCACCUGCUCAGGUUAUAACAGAUACGGGGAAUCAGGGCUCGAUUCCGGAGAGGUAGCCUCAAAAACCGCUUCCACGUCUAAGGAUGGCAGCAGGCGCGAAACGUUUCCAAUAACUAAGUUGUUGAGAACGUUAUGAAGCAUAUGGAACUGGGCUAUUCUAGUCCAGAAAAUCCGCAUGAGGGCAUUCUAGACCACUCACCAAGUAACAAUUAGUGGGAAAGUCUGGUGCCAGCAUCCGCGGUAAUUCCAGCACUGAUAGCAUAUCUUUAAAUUGUUGCAGUUGAAGCGCUCGUAGCCUAACAUCGGUCGAGUUCAACUUAUGGGGAUCAGAGAUCACUGCCACUUAGGAGUAAGCCUUGGACCUUGGGGUUAUGCCGAAUUCCUUGUCACCCAGGGGACUGCUCUUAUUUGACAGCCUUUGUUUUUCAUAGGAUGGAUGAGGCCCAACCAUUGUUCAGUUCCACCUGGUUAUCUUUCACUAGAUAGCCAGAGGGAAAGGGACACUUUACCUUGAGCAAAUGAGAAUGUUCAAAGUAAGUCUUCUUCUGACAUUGGAUUAAUCUUAGCAUGGAAUAAUUUGUCUUUUUGAUAAGUUGGUUCCUUGUCAGAGAGGAGGUUGGUUAAGGGGGAUAGCGUGAGUCAACCAAGCUAUGGGGCGAGGGGUGAAAUCCGUUGACCCUCAUAGAUUGACCAAACGCGAAAGCAGUUGACUAUUCUAUCCCUUUUGGUCAAGAACGAGAGUGGGGGGAUCGAAAAUGAUUAGAUACCGUUGUAGUCCCCACUGUUAAAUAUGUUGACUAUCAGUGAAGUAAGCUCUGACUUACUUCCGACUCUCCUCCUUGGUUACUCUUUAGACUUAAGUGUAACCUUGGGGGGAGUAUAGUCGCAAGUCUGAAACUUAAAGGAAUUGACGGAGGAGCACACAAGGAGUGGAACCUGCGGCUUAAUUUGACUCAACACGCGAAACCUUACGGAGAUCAAGGUGGAUUUGAUGGACUACUCACCGAGUUUUCUUGAUGUCCUCCAGCGGUGGUGCAUGGCCGUUCUUAGUUCGUGGAUUGAUCUGUCUGGCUAAUUCCGAUAACGAACGAGACAUACUUCACUCAUUAAAGGUCUGGACGAGAGACAAAUGAUUCAUAUUCUUCACCUCACUUGCCAUGAUUUUUUGGGGACCCCUGCUUAUCGACAUCUCACGGUGCUUAGGCAGAUCCCUAUUUCUGAGUGGACCACAGGUGUUGUGGGGAUUUGAGUUGUUUGGUUCAGAUUUUUGUGAGUGAGACGAACAGUGAUAAACUGUUGGAAGCAGUAUGCCAUAACAGGUCAGUGAUGCCCCUUGAUAUCUCCGGCCGCACGCGCGUUACAAUACUCUGAUAAGCUAGAUCACUGGAAGAAAUUUUUAGUGAAAUCUAGAAUCCAUCCACUCAUUCUGGGAUUGACCUGUGUUCCACUCACGGUCAUGAACCCGGAAUUUCUAGUAGGCGCCAGUUCACCACACUGCGCCGACUUUGUCCCUGCUCCUUGUACACACCGCCCGUCGCUCCUACCGAUGAGUAGCUUGGUGAAGAUUCUGGAGAGAGAAGUACCACUUUCUGGGGGGCAACUUGGGUUCUUUCAUCCUACCUCGGUAGUUUGUUUUUACUUUCAAGUUCCUUAGAGAGCCCUUUUCUCAAAAGUAUUUGAACCUAGUUAUUUAGAGGAAGGAGAAGUCGUAACAAGGUAGCCGUAGGUGAACCUGAGAAGGAUCA